UACGUAGGGGGCAAGCGUUGUCCGGAAUUACUGGGCGUAAAGGGUGCUUAGGUGGCUUGGAAAGUCAGUGGUGAAAUCUGAGAGCUUAACUGUCAAACUGCCAUUGAUACUUCUUAGCUUGAGUACGGAAGAGGCUGAUGGAAUUUCAGGUGUAGCAGUGAAAUGCGUAGAUAUCUGAAAGAACACCAGUGGCGAAGGCGGUCAGCUGGUCCGUUACUGACACUAAAGCACGAAAGCGUGGGUAGCAAACAGG
Molecule: ribosomal RNA, 253 nt
Filed under: uncultured bacterium
Lineage: Bacteria
Description: partial 16S ribosomal RNA
Rfam family: Bacterial small subunit ribosomal RNA
Source: RNAcentral